This 1839-nucleotide long non-coding RNA is filed under the name Capsicum annuum. RNAcentral's name for it is "long non-coding RNA (CANN_LNC018381)". The record is from RNAcentral. Lineage: Eukaryota; Viridiplantae; Streptophyta; Magnoliopsida; Solanales; Solanaceae.
ACUCUAAAAGCUCAGCUGCCGAGGGUGAUCGGUAUCGGAUCUUGCCGUUUCCCGGCGCCGGAGUCUCCUGGGUCUCCAGCUCGAAUUGCUCGAUCCGACAGUACAGGAUAAUAAAGCAAAUGGGAAAUUUAACCGGGAAGGAGAGAAGGUAAUGGUUGAUAGUCCAAGAGAAAUUAUAAUAGGUGGUUAAACCGGACGUGCUAGUAAUUUAAUUACUCAAUUACUCCCUCCCUACCAAAUUUCAUAAUUUUAUUUUACUUAUUUAUUUAUUAAUAAAAAAGAGAUAAAUUUUUUUUCAUAUUUUAUUCUUUUCAUUAAUUAUUUUUUCUUCAAAUUAAAAUUUAAACAUCGUUUAAUAGAGGUAUUAUGAUAAACUAGUCAUAUUAUUAAUUAUUUUUCUUAAUUAACGUGUCAUCUCAAUUUAAGACGAGGGAGUAUUCAUUUUUACUAAAUGCAUCUUUUUAGGUUGCUCAUCCAAUGUCCCGUGCCCGCAUUAGAGACUCAACUAAUAUGGAUCGCGCAUUGCAGGGCUCAUUAAGGUGCCAGCGCUCCCAAUUUAUUUAAUGCAUUUAUUCUUACACUCUAUUAAUACCUCUCUUAUAUUUAUAAUUUAGCAUAAAAGUGGAAUAAUUAAUUAUGCAUAAAUUUUAUGAAAUGAAAAGCACUAUUAAAAAAAAUAUUUUUAAUAAGGAUGAUAACUAAUUUGGGACGCAAUGAGUAAUUUGAUUAGAGCGAUGAAAUUAUACUUAGCAUAAAAGUGUAGGAUCUUAAAUUUUUAUUCCCUAAUUAUUAGAUUUCGAAUUUUUGUCUCUUACUUAUUUGAUCUUGAAUAUUUGUUCACUACAGUGUGUGUCUUGAAUUUAUGAUCUGCUAAAUAAAUCCUAAAGUUUGUGUAUAAGGCAGAUUUUUUUAUUGGUUUAUAUACAUUUAUCCUAUUGAAAUGUUUUGAAUGAUUGUUUUAUAGCUUAUAGGCAUGAGUUUAAACAUUUUUCUUAUCAAUAAUAAGUUUAAGUUUUAACUUUUCCAUCGAAGGUAUAAUUUUUGAUCAAUUGUACAAAUUUAUUGUUUUUUAAAAAAUCAUGAACAUCGAUUUAUAAGCAACAGUUAGAAAGUCUAUCAUAUGAAUAAGAGUUAAUUAAGGAGGAUCAAAAAAUAAAGAUUAAUUUUUACGGAUGUUAUUUUUAUUAUGAAGAAUAAAAUAUCAAGAAAAUUUUAUUUUAGGAUCAUUUUGAAAUUACCUUUGAUUAAAGUUGUUAAUACGAGAUGACGCAACCCAUUAGAAAUAGCUCACACGGAUUUUGAAAUUUGACGGGCUGACCCAAACGCUCCUUACUAUCAGUAGUGGAGCCAAAAUUUUCAUUAAGGGGGUUCAAAAUCAAAAGAAGUAGGCACACGAACUAGCCGAAGGGGGUUCAACAUCAAUGAUAUAUACAAAAAAAAUAAUUUUAACGUACAGGAUAAUAAAGCAAAUGGGAAAUUUAACCGGGAAGGAGAGAAGGUAAUGGUUGAUAGUCUUAAGAGAAAUUAUAAUAGGUGGUUAAACCGGACGUGCUAGUAAUUUAAUUACUCAAUUACUCCCUCCCUACCAAAUUCCAUAAUUUUAUUUUUUAUUUUACUUAUUUUUUUAUUAAUAAAAAAGAGAUAAAAAAAAUUUUCAUAUUUUAUUCUUUCCAUUAAUUAUUUUUUCUUCAAAUUAAAAUUUAAACAUCGUUUAAUAGGGGUAUUAUGAUAAACUAGUCAUAUUAUUAAUUAUUUUUCUUAAUUAACGUGUCAUCUCAAUUUAAGACGAGGGAGUAUUCAUUUUUACUAAAUGCAUCUUUUUAGGUUGCUCAUCCAAUG